GAUGAACGCUGGCGGCGUGCCUAAUACAUGCAAGUCGAGCGAACAGAUAAUGAGCUUGCUCCUUUGACGUUAGCGGCGGACGGGUGAGUAACACGUGGGUAACCUACCUAUAUGACUGGUAUAACCCCGGGAAACCGGGUCUAAUGCCGGAUAACAUUUAGAACCGCAUGGUUCUAAAGUGAAAGAUGGUUUUGCUAUCACUUAUAGAUGGACCCGCGCCGUAUUAGCUAGUUGGUAAGUUAACGGCUUACCAAGGCAACGAUACGUAGCCGACCUGAGAGAGUGAUCGGCCACACUGGAACUGAGACACGGUCCAUGCGCCUACGGGAGGCAGCAGUAGGGAAUCUUACGCAGUGGGCGAAAGCCUGACGGAGCGACGCCACGUGAGUUAUGAAGGUCUUCGGAUCGUAAAGCUCUGUUAUUAGGUGAGAACAAAUGUGUAAGUAACUGUGCACGUCUUGACGGUACCUAAUCAGAAAGCCACGGCUAACUACGUG
RNAcentral lists this ribosomal RNA (497 nucleotides) under uncultured bacterium. RNAcentral describes it as "partial 16S ribosomal RNA". It matches the Rfam family "Bacterial small subunit ribosomal RNA", at positions 28 to 507 of the family's 1533-position model. The record is from RNAcentral.